GCCGCUGUAGCUCAGCAGGCAGAGCGCCUCACUUGUAAUGAGGAAGUCGGGAGUUCGAUUCUCCCCAGCGGCUCCA
Molecule: transfer RNA, 76 nt
Filed under: Chloroflexota bacterium
Lineage: Bacteria; Bacillati; Chloroflexota
Description: Chloroflexi bacterium (groundwater metagenome) tRNA-Thr
Rfam family: tRNA
About the family: Transfer RNA (tRNA) molecules are approximately 80 nucleotides in length. Their secondary structure includes four short double-helical elements and three loops (D, anti-codon, and T loops).
Source: RNAcentral